UUCCUGUAAAUAUUGCAUAGACUUUAGUCCAGAUUUUAGUACAUUAUCCUGUGUAAUAAAUUUCUAUCUUUUAUAAAUUAACUUUUGGUAUUUAGAAAUACAUAUUUUGGGGUGAAGUCAAUUCUAUGGUAUUUCCUAGCUUACUAUCUUCCUCAUGGAGAAAUAGAAAACACAAAUAAUCCUUAGUUGAAAUAUAAACAUUUCAGUUUUAGUGAAGUGUACUAUCACCAACUUGUAAUGGUGUUACAAGUCAUCAUUCUGCAUACACCAGAGUGACCCAAAAUGCUCCACAGUCUAGGUAAACUGCAGGAGUAAGCUUAAGGUUAUUUAACUUCCAAACCCCAGAUCUCUGCUCUGAUGGUCACUUGAAAUUCUACAAUUUCAAACACCUCUGAAGACAUUCAGUUAAGGCCUCUGGCCUCUAGAUGGCCCUCUAUCUUUUGGGAAUGCCUUAAAGUCCAUUUCAUGAGGGAAAGUUGAAGCCAGUGAUCUUUCUGGGAUAGCACAAGUUACCCUGUAUCUUUGCUCAAGGAAUUCUUUCUGUAGGCUUCCUAGAGUAUACCAGAAUUAAAUUUUUCUCCCCUUUGAUGAGUCUCUCCAAAGCAAGGAGUAAUACCUG
Molecule: long non-coding RNA, 619 nt
Filed under: Homo sapiens (human)
Lineage: Eukaryota; Metazoa; Chordata; Mammalia; Primates; Hominidae
Description: non-protein coding lnc-GOLGA6L9-11:1
Source: RNAcentral